UGGGGAAUUUUGGACAAUGGGGGAAACCCUGAUCCAGCCAUCCCGCGUGUGCGAUGAAGGCCUUCGGGUUGUAAAGCACUUUUGGCAGGAAAGAAACGUCAUGGGUUAAUACCCCGUGAAACUGACGGUACCUGCAGAAUAAGCACCGGCUAACUACGUGCCAGCAGCCGCGGUAAUACGUAGGGUGCAAGCGUUAAUCGGAAUUACUGGGCGUAAAGCGUGCGCAGGCGGUUCGAAAAGAAAGAUGUGAAAUCCCAAAGCUCAACUUUGGAACUGCAUUUUUAACUACCGGGCUAGAGUGUGUCAGAGGGAGGUGGAAUUCCGCGUGUAGCAGUGAAAUGCGUAGAUAUGCGGAGGAACACCGAUGGCGAAGGCAGCCUCCUGGGAUAACACUGACGCUCAUGCACGAAAGCGUGGGGAGCAAACAGG
This 429-nucleotide ribosomal RNA is filed under the name Acidobacteriota bacterium. Its description in RNAcentral is "Acidobacteria bacterium partial 16S ribosomal RNA". It matches the Rfam family "Bacterial small subunit ribosomal RNA", at positions 355 to 776 of the family's 1533-position model. The record is from RNAcentral. Lineage: Bacteria; Pseudomonadati; Acidobacteriota.